GGCAUGGUGGCUUAGUGGUUAGCAUUGUUGCCUCUUAUCGCCAGGGUUGGGGGUUCGAAUCCCACAUCUGUCC
Molecule: non-coding RNA, 73 nt
Organism: Ameiurus melas (black bullhead)
Lineage: Eukaryota; Metazoa; Chordata; Actinopteri; Siluriformes; Ictaluridae
Source: the annotation of a GenBank genome assembly